RNAcentral lists this ribosomal RNA (616 nucleotides) under Inocellia fujiana. Its description in RNAcentral is "12S ribosomal RNA". The record is from RNAcentral. Lineage: Eukaryota; Metazoa; Arthropoda; Insecta; Raphidioptera; Inocelliidae.
UGCCAGCCAUCGCGGUUAUACAAAUUAUUGAAAUAAAUUUUAUUGAUAUUAAAUUUAAUUGUUUUAUUAAAAUUAAUUUAAAGUUUAAUAAUAAAAGUGAAAUUUUUUAUUUUUAUUAAUUUAAUUAAAUAAAAAUUGAUUUUUGAAAUUUAAUUUAUAAACUAGGAUUAGAUACCCUAUUAUUUUAAAUGUAAAAUUAAUAUUAAGGGAUUAGUAGUUAUGAUCUUUAAAUUUAAAAAAUUUGGCGGUAUUUUAGUCUAUUUAGAGGAAUCUGUUCUGUAAUUGAUAGUUCACGAUAAAUUUUACUUAAUUUAUUAAUUAAUAUAUCGUCGUUAGCAAAAUAUUUUUUAAGAAUAAAAAAUUUUUAUAAAUUUAAUUAAAUUUUAUUUCAGAUCAAGAUGUUGUUUAUGAUUAUGAAGAAAUGGAUUACAAUAAAUUAAUUUAUAUUAUGAAUAAUUUAUAUAAAGAUAAAUUUGAAGGUGGAUUUAAUAGUAAUUUUUAAUAUAUUUUAAAAAUGAUUUAAGCACUAAAAUAUGCACAUAUCGCCCGUCGCUCUUAUUUAUUAAAUAAGAUAAGUCGUAACAAAGUAGAUGUACUGGAAAGUGUAUCUAGAAUG